Molecule: ribosomal RNA, 463 nt
Filed under: uncultured Pseudomonadota bacterium
Lineage: Bacteria; Pseudomonadati; Pseudomonadota
Description: bacterial SSU rRNA
Rfam family: Bacterial small subunit ribosomal RNA
Source: RNAcentral
AACGUGUCGAGAAGGAGGGGGAUAACCACCCGAAAGGGUGGCUAAUACCGCAUAAAUUCUGAGGAAGAAAGCUGGGGACCUGGGAAUAGGCCUAGCGCUUUUUGAGCGGCCGAUGUCGGAUUAGCUAGUUGGUGAGGUAAAGGCUCACCAAGGCGAAGAUCUGUAGCGGGUCUGAGAGGAUGAUCCGCCACACUGGGACUGAGACACGGCCCAGACUCCUACGGGAGGCAGCAGUGGGGAAUUUUGGACAAUGGGGGCAACCCUGAUCCAGCCAUGCCGCGUGUAUGAAGAAGGCCUUAGGGUUGUAAAGUACUUUUGUUAGGGAAGAAAAGUCAGCUGUGAAUAAUGGCUGAUACUGACGGUACCUAAAGAAUAAGCACCGGCUAACUACGUGCCAGCAGCCGCGGUAAUACGUAGGGUGCGAGCGUUAAUCGGAAUUAUUGGGCGUAAAGCGAGUGUAGAC